Molecule: long non-coding RNA, 358 nt
Organism: Xenia sp. Carnegie-2017
Lineage: Eukaryota; Metazoa; Cnidaria; Anthozoa; Malacalcyonacea; Xeniidae
Exons: 2
Source: RefSeq, a predicted model, not a curated record
CUCUCCAAUUAUUGGUGCUGGGGUUAUUGAACACCUGUCUGUUUCAACUUAUCUGACAUUAACCUAUCAAGAAUGCUAAAAGUGUGGAGAGCGGGCACACGAGUAACCGCUAUAGAAGAGUAAACGAAGAGCUAGCCGGUCAAGGCCGUCGCUUUUCAAGUGUGCAAAUUAGUGCAAGUACGUCAUGACCGCCAAGUUGGACGACUUUGACAAAGAUUUCCCUCGUGUACUAUGCAAAUAUACGGAAAUUCUUAUAAGCCAAAUAAAAAACAAUUAUCUGUACUUAAUCUUUUACUAGCAUAUUUGCUUAUGAUGAAAACAGAAAACUUUUUUUUCUUUUUAACUAUCUUCAUUUCAA